GGGAACCUUGCUUCCCGCUGACAACGGCGGACGGGUGAGUAAUGCUUAUGAAUCUGCCCCGUAGUGGGGGAUAACCCGGGGAAACCCGGAUUAUUACCGCAUACAUCCUACGGAAAAAGGCAGGGGAUCUUCGGACCUUGCGCUAUUGGAUGAGCCUAAGUCGGAUUACCUAGUUGGUGGGGUAAAGGCCUACCAAGGCGACCAUCCGUAGCUGGUCUGAGAGGAUGAUCAGCCACAUCGGGACUGAAACACGGCCCGAACUCCUACGGGAGGCAGCAGUGGGGAAUAUUGGACAAUGGGGGCAACCCUGAUCCAGCCAUGCCGCGUGUGUGAAGAAGGCUUUCGGGUUGUAAAGCACUUUCAGUACGGAGGACAACCUUAGGGUUAAUACCCGUGAGGCUUGACGU
Molecule: ribosomal RNA, 407 nt
Filed under: Marinobacter nauticus
Lineage: Bacteria; Pseudomonadati; Pseudomonadota; Gammaproteobacteria; Pseudomonadales; Marinobacteraceae
Description: bacterial SSU rRNA
Rfam family: Bacterial small subunit ribosomal RNA
Source: RNAcentral